CCUACGGGGGGCAGCAGUGGGGAAUAUUGGACAAUGGGCGAAAGCCUGAUCCAGCCAUGCCGCGUGUGUGAAGAAGGCCUUCGGGUUGUAAAGCACUUUCAGUGGGGAAGAAAGCCUUGGGGCUAAUACCCUCGAGGAAGGACAUCACCCACAGAAGAAGCACCGGCUAACUCCGUGCCAGCAGCCGCGGUAAUACGGAGGGUGCGAGCGUUAAUCGGAAUUACUGGGCGUAAAGCGCGCGUAGGCGGUCUGAUAAGCCGGUUGUGAAAGCCCCGGGCUCAACCUGGGAACGGCAUCCGGAACUGUCAGGCUAGAGGGCAGGAGAGGAAGGUAGAAUUCCCGGUGUAGCGGUGAAAUGCGUAGAGUUCGGGAGGAAUACCAGUGGCGAAGGCGGCCUUCUGGACUGACACUGACGCUGAGGUGCGAAAGCGUGGGUAGCAAACAGGAUUAGAUACCCCUGUAGUC
Molecule: ribosomal RNA, 465 nt
Filed under: Vreelandella stevensii
Lineage: Bacteria; Pseudomonadati; Pseudomonadota; Gammaproteobacteria; Oceanospirillales; Halomonadaceae
Description: partial 16S ribosomal RNA
Rfam family: Bacterial small subunit ribosomal RNA
Source: RNAcentral